UAAGUUUGUCAGACGUUUCGCCGGUUAGGGCUUGUGUCAUUUGUGUCACUGAUGAAGCCCUAACCGGCGAAACGUCUGACAAACUUA
This is a non-coding RNA of Paramuricea clavata, 87 nucleotides long. NCBI's taxonomy places the organism in Eukaryota, Metazoa, Cnidaria, Anthozoa, Malacalcyonacea, Plexauridae. The record is from the annotation of a GenBank genome assembly.